RNAcentral lists this ribosomal RNA (649 nucleotides) under Bacillus cereus. RNAcentral's name for it is "bacterial SSU rRNA". It matches the Rfam family "Bacterial small subunit ribosomal RNA", at positions 824 to 1479 of the family's 1533-position model. The record is from RNAcentral. Lineage: Bacteria; Bacillati; Bacillota; Bacilli; Caryophanales; Bacillaceae.
UAGAGGGUUUCCGCCCUUUAGUGCUGAAGUUAACGCAUUAAGCACUCCGCCUGGGGAGUACGGCCGCAAGGCUGAAAAUAAAAGGAAUAGACGGGGGCCCGCACAAGCGGUGGAGCAUGUGGUUAAUUCGAAGCAACGCGGGAACCUUACCAGGUCUGACAUCCUCUGAAAACCCUAGAGAUAGGGUUAUCCUUCGGGAGCAGAGUGACAGGUGGUGCAUGGUUGUGUCAGCUCGUGUCGUGAGAUGUUGGGUUAAGUCCCGCAACGAGCGCAACCCUUGAUCUUAGUUGCCAUCACUAAGUUGGGCACUCUAAGGUGACUGCCGGUGACAAACCGGAGGAAGGUGGGGAUGACGUCAAAUCAUCAUGCCCCUUAUGACCUGGGCUACACACGUGCUACAAUGGACGGUACAAAGAGCUGCAAGACCGCGAGGUGGAGCUAAUCUCAUAAAACCGUUCUCAGUUCGGAUUGUAGGCUGCAACUCGCCUACAUGAAGCUGGAAUCGCUAGUAAUCGCGGAUCAGCAUGCCGCGGUGAAUACGUUCCCGCGCCUUGUACACACCGCCCGUCACACCACGAGAGUUUGUAACACCCGAAGUCGGUGGGGUAACCCUUUGACGCCAGCACCUCGUAGUGUGACCGUCAUUGGG